GAGGGUAUAGCUCAAGCAGCAGAGUGCAUGCUUAGCAUGCACGAGGUCCUGGGUUCGAACUCCAGUACCUCCU
Molecule: non-coding RNA, 73 nt
Organism: Camelus ferus (Wild Bactrian camel)
Lineage: Eukaryota; Metazoa; Chordata; Mammalia; Artiodactyla; Camelidae
Source: Rfam